This is an RNA transcript of Vigna unguiculata (cowpea), 715 nucleotides long. RefSeq lists it as uncharacterized. The record is from RefSeq and is a predicted model, not a curated record. NCBI's taxonomy places the organism in Eukaryota, Viridiplantae, Streptophyta, Magnoliopsida, Fabales, Fabaceae.
AUCACAUUGAAAUUGUAAGCGAAGUUGAAGCCUUGAUAACAGAGAGAGAAAAAGAAAGAAGAGAGAAAAAAAAAAAUGGGUCUUUGCUUUGGUUGCUUCGGCGCAGACAAGCGCAUGAGCAAGGAAGAAGAAAGGUUAGCCUCUGAAGAAGCGCGUGCAAAAGCUGCUGAAGCGGCACAGAAAAGACAAGAGCAAUUUGAGAAAUCUGCAGCAGGACGAGCUGCACGUGCACAGCAACAGGCAAUGGCAAAGCAAUCUGCAAACCCCAACAAAGGCGAACCCGUUCUAAAGUGGCAGAUGGGUUGAGGUUAGACACUUUGUGGAAUCAACUUUUUUUAGGUGUUGUAAGUUCACUGUCCGAAAUGUAUAUCAAGGUGAAAAAGGAUUGAGUAGGAUAUACACCUCAAUAAAAUAUUAAUGUAUUGAUGACAGAUCCAAUCAAAAUUCUACCCUCUGCAUGUUUCACUUGUACGGAAGAUGUAAAGAUGUUUACAGCAAUAAUUGUAUCUUAGGUGUAAUUUGUUGUUAUCCAGACCAAGAAAAACAGUGAGUGUAAAUUUGUAAAGAAAUCAUGGUGAUUGGAAACUGGAUAAGUUGAGAUGGCAGUUUGAUUUUCUUCCCCUCUAUUGUAUCAAAUUCAGCAACUCAAUUUGCUAUAACGGAUUAGAGAAGUGUGGCCCUUGAAAUAUUAUCUCCAACGUGUAUUUUUCGCUAA